RNAcentral lists this ribosomal RNA (495 nucleotides) under uncultured bacterium. Its description in RNAcentral is "partial 16S ribosomal RNA". It matches the Rfam family "Bacterial small subunit ribosomal RNA", at positions 30 to 507 of the family's 1533-position model. The record is from RNAcentral.
UGAACGCUGGCGGCGUGCCUAAUACAUGCAAGUCGAGCGAACAGAUACGGAGCUUGCUCCUUUGACGUUAGCGGCGGACGGGUGAGUAACACGUGGGUAACCUACCUAUAAGACUGGGAUAACUUCGGGAAACCGGAGCUAAUACCGGAUAACAUUUGGAACCGCAUGGUUCUAAAGUGAAAGAUGGUUUUGCUAUCACUUAUAGAUGGACCCGCGCCGUAUUAGCUAGUUGGUAAGGUAACGGCUUACCAAGGCGACGAUACGUAGCCGACCUGAGAGGGUGAUCGGCCACACUGGAACUGAGACACGGUCCAGACUCCUACGGGAGGCAGCAGUAGGGAAUCUUCCGCAAUAGGCGAAAGCCUGACGGAGCAACGCCGCGUGAGUGGUGAAGGGUUUCGGCUCGUAAAACUCUGUUAUUAGGGAAGAACAAAUGUGUAAGUAACUGUGCACGUCUUGACGGUACCUAAUCAGAAAGCCACGGCUAACUACGUG